Molecule: long non-coding RNA, 1825 nt
Organism: Gordionus sp. m RMFG-2023
Lineage: Eukaryota; Metazoa; Nematomorpha; Gordioida; Chordodea; Parachordodidae
Exons: 3
Source: RefSeq, a predicted model, not a curated record
CGCUUUUUAUAAAAUGGCUACCUUGAAAAUUUAAAUUUAUUUAUCGUAUUUUGAUUCGUUAUAAAUCAUUUAAAUUCUAGUGGAAUUCUAUAAAUAUUUUUAAAUCUACUCAAUGACUAGUGAUAUAAAUUAUAGAAUACCGGUAGAUAGUGAGGAUUCUCAAUUGAGUGAUUCGUCUGAUGAAGAAUAUUUACCAUGUGAUACUGGGGCAAUUGAAUCAGAUUAUUCGGAUAUUGAAAGCAAUGACUCUGACUCAAGCCAUCCUGAUGAUGGAUUGUCAGGACGACGAAAUAUAUGGAAAUCCUCUUUAACUAAUGUCCCACGAGUAGCCCCAGAUUGGAAAGGCAGUUUACCCUUCGCCAAUAAAGUUAAAAAUCCGAUAUACUACUUCAAAUUUUUACUGGGAAAUAUACUUCCUACAAUAGUUCAAUCUAUAUUCUAUUCAAAAAGAUAUAAGCAGACCCCUUAAUUUAUUGUUAGAUGAAUUAGAACAAUUCAUAGGUAUUUUGUUCUAUAUGAUUAUAAAUCUACCAAGAGCUCGUUUAUAUUGGACGGCUAAUACUAGAAUCGCUAAUGUAGCUAACAUUAUGUCAGUAAAAAGGUGGGAGUUCAUAAAAUCCUGUUUUCACAUAAAUGACAACACGAAAGCAUGUCCUUUUGGGACUGAAGGGUAUGAUGCUCUUCAUAAAAUACGACCUAUGCUGACGAUCACAACAAAUAUUUUAAAAGAUAUUACACUAGGAGAAAAUCUAUGCGUCGAUGAGCAAGUUGUUCCUUUCAAGGGACAAAGUAAGAUGAAACAAUACAACCCCCAAAAGCCUAAAAAGUGGGGUUUUAAAUUCUUUUUAUUAUGUGGAAAUGAUGGUAUUGUUUAUAAUUAUGAAAUGUAUAUGGGGAAGAUUCUCCAAGCCGAAGGUAUGCCAGAUAUAGGAGCUUGUGGGAAUUCAGUUCUGCGCAUGGUUGUCGCAGUUCCAUUGAAUCAAAAUUAUAAGUUAUACUUUGACAAUUGGUUCUCUAGCAUAAACUUACUGGUUAUAUUAGCGCAAAGGGGAAUACAAUGUGUAUCAACGGUUAGGGCAAAUCGCCUCAAAAAUUGUGUUUUGCCGACAGAUCAAGAGAUCAAAAAAAACAGUGAUCAAUGGAGUAGAAUUAUCUGUAAUCAAAUGGUUUAACAAUCGUUCAGUUUAUCUAACGAGCAGCUUUAUAGGGGCCCACCCGAUAUCUGACGUGAAACGAUUCGAUAGAAAAAAAAGGAAAGCAUUAAUGUAAAAUGUCCAGCCAUUGUUAAAAAUUAUAAUAAAAACAUGGGUGGAGUGGAUCUUAUAGAUUCCCUACUAGCAUUAUAUAGAAUUCAUAUCAGGUCCCGAAAAUGGUAUCACCGAGUAGCCUUUCAUAUAUUUGACAUGAUGCUUGUUAAUUCAUGGCUAUUGUACCGGAGAGAUUGUAACCUGUUACAAAUUCCCAGGAAAGAGCAGGAGUCGCUCCUAACUUUUAAAAUAUCAGUUGCAGAAGUAUUGUGCAAAGGAAAUAAAAGCAUUAAUUCAGUAACGGGUAAUAAACGAAUAUCGGUGCAAUCGGAAUAUAUAAAAAAGUGUAAAAAAGGUACAGCACAAUGUUUACCAAAUUUGGAAAUUCGGAAAGACCAAUUUGCACAUUGGCCUAAGUAUAAUGACCAAAAGGUCAGGUGCAAAUUACCAGGAUGUAAGGGGAUUACAAAAGUAGCUUGCGACAAAUGCGGGGUAUCAUUAUGUUUUACUCCAGCAAAUAAUUGUUUUACUAUAUUUCAUAAAAACUGAUUUUUUUGCAUUUGUAUAUCAUUUUUAUA